This is a long non-coding RNA of Phacochoerus africanus (Common warthog), 469 nucleotides long. RefSeq lists it as uncharacterized. The transcript is spliced from 6 exons. NCBI's taxonomy places the organism in Eukaryota, Metazoa, Chordata, Mammalia, Artiodactyla, Suidae. The record is from RefSeq and is a predicted model, not a curated record.
CUGCUGGAUGCGUGGGUCGGUCUUUUACGUCGGGACUCAAGGGUUUGUUAGGUGGUGCUAGGAGCGAUGGCUCUCGGUGUAACGGAGCUCUUAGGUGAAGAUGCUGAGAGGAAAAGGAAGAGUGCAAAACAUGGAGAAUGUUUGCUGGAAAACGACAUGGUUAAAACCUAAUGAUCUUAGCAGCAUCCUGCAGGUUGUUGAUUGCUAAUGAAGUUAUGGAUAUCUCUGAUGGCAGCUUCAUUCUGAAUGAGGGGUCGCUGUCUGCCUAUUGAAAGAGGCCAGAUUGCAGUGAAGUUCCUGAGAUAUUUCUGGCUAAUGCCACAAGAUUUACCGGUAUGUCGUGUGAAAAACUAAGGAAAAGCGCUUCAUUUUAUGGAUAUGGAAAGAAAAAUCAAGAUGGAUUAUAUUUUUUUUUAAUUAUCCAGUCUUUAAUUAGUUAAGUAAAACUAAUUAAACUUUUUAAAAUCAA